UCAAACUUCUGGCAAUGACGAAGCAUGAAGCCAGCAUCUCAGGGAGAGGUGAGAAAACUGACACUUGGAGAGGUAGAGUAGCUUUAUUUACUUCACACAAGCUUUUGAUGAAUUUCAAGUCUCAACCUAGAAGUCUUCCUCUAAGGGAAAUUAAUGUUAUGACUGGAUAAGACAAUUGUGAAGAAACUGCACUUCGAGGUUGUCUGUCUCCGUAUUCCGAUGGAAAAGGCUGGACUUUAGAAGCAUUGCUCGCUCCUUCAGUUUCUAACAAGAGUUUUACAGUUUCUGAUUAAAUACCAAUGGGAUAUCACCUCCCAUCUCUUAGGAUGGCUGUUAUAAAAAGGACAAGAGAUAACAAGUGUUGGUGAUGGUGUGGAGAGAAGGGAACCUUUGUACACUGCUGGUUAAAAUGUAAGUUAGUACAGCCAUUAUGGAAAACAGUAUGAAAGUUCCUGAGAAUCUAAAAAUAGAACUACCAUAUGGCUCAGCAAUCCCUCCUAUGAAUUAUAUAUCAACAGGAAAUGAAAUCAGCAUCUGAUAGAGAUAUCUUCACUCCCCUCUUCUCCGUGCCCCACCACAGCAUUGCUCCCAACAGCCAAGCCAUGGGAUGAAGUUACUGUGCAUUGAUGGAUGAGUGGAGAAAAGAAAAUGUGGGGGAGGUGUUUGUGCAUGUAUGUGUGUGUGUGUAUAAUAUAUAAUAAUAUAAUAUUUUUCAGCUUUUAAGAAGUUGAAGAUACUGCCAUUUGUGAUAACAUAAAUGAAUCUGGAGGAUAUUAAGCUAAGUAAAAUAACUUAGGGAGAGAGAAAAAUACUGCAUAAUUUCUGUUACAUAUGAAAUCUUUAAAAAGGUUUAAUACAUAGAGACAUGAUAGAGUGAUGAUUUGGGGGAUAAGAGACACAAGUCAACGUUUCAGUUAUAUAAAAUAAAUGAAUCUAGAGGACUAAAGUACAAUUUAAAGGUUAUAGUUACUAUUUUUAUAUUAUAUACUAGUGAUUUUUGAACAGGGUAAACUUUAGGUGCUUUGACACCAAAAGGAAACUACAUGAGUUCAUGUAUAUGUUAAAUUGUUUGACCGCAGUCAUCAUUGAUAUGUAUAUGUAUAUAUAUAUAAUUAUGGGCUCAUUAAAUUUAAAUGCUAUAAAUAGGUAACAAAGAAUAAAGUUAAUUGAAAAACUGCA
RNAcentral lists this long non-coding RNA (1179 nucleotides) under Homo sapiens (human). RNAcentral's name for it is "MIR3147 host gene". Lineage: Eukaryota; Metazoa; Chordata; Mammalia; Primates; Hominidae. The record is from RNAcentral.